Molecule: ribosomal RNA, 262 nt
Filed under: uncultured bacterium
Lineage: Bacteria
Description: partial 16S ribosomal RNA
Rfam family: Bacterial small subunit ribosomal RNA
Source: RNAcentral
CCUAACACAUGCAANUCNAGCGGCAGCGGAAAGUAUCUUGCUACUUUGCCGGCGAGCGGCGGACGGGUGAGUAAUGUCUGGGAAACUGCCUGAUGGAGGGGGAUAACUACUGGAAACGGUAGCUAAUACCGCAUAACGUCGCACCACCAAAGAGGGGGACCUUCGGGCCUCUUGCCAUCAGAUGUGCCCANAUGGGAUNAGCUAGUAGGUGGGGUAACGGCUCANCUAGGCGACGAUCCCUANCUGGUCCGAGAGGAUGACC